This 643-nucleotide ribosomal RNA is filed under the name uncultured bacterium. RNAcentral describes it as "bacterial SSU rRNA". It matches the Rfam family "Bacterial small subunit ribosomal RNA", at positions 8 to 694 of the family's 1533-position model. The record is from RNAcentral.
AGAGUUUGAUCCUGGCUCAGGACGAACGCUGGCGGUGUGCUUCACACAUGCAAGUCGAACGAGGUAGCAAUACCUAGUGGCGGACGGGUGAGUAACGCGUGGGAAUCUGCCCUUGGGUAGGGGAUAGCAGGCCGAAAGGCCUAUUAAUACCGUAUAUGCCGUGAGGUAAAAGGAGUAAUCCGCCCGAGGAUGAGCCUGCGUCCGAUUAGCUAGUUGGUGGGGUAAAAGCCUACCAAGGCUACGAUCGGUAGCUGGUCUGAGAGGACGAUCAGCCACAAUGGGACUGAGACACGGCCCAUACUCCUACGGGAGGCAGCAGUGGGGAAUUUUACGCAAUGGGGGAAACCCUGACGUAGCGACACCGCGUGAGCGAAGAAGCCUUUUGGGGUGUAAAGCUCUGUCAGCAGGAACGAAUAAAUGACGGUACCUGCAGAGGAAGCAUCGGCUAACUACGUGCCAGCAGCCGCGGUAAGACGUAGGAUGCGAGCGUUGUCCGGAUUCAUUGGGCGUAAAGAGUUCGUAGGCGGUUUGUUAAGUCUGAUGUUAAAGAUCAGGGCCCAACCCUGGGAGUGCAUUGGAUACUGGCAGACUUGAGUACAGUAGAGGCGAGUGGAAUUCCCAGUGUAGCGGUGAAAUGCGUAGA